RNAcentral lists this ribosomal RNA (912 nucleotides) under Salmonella enterica. Its description in RNAcentral is "partial 23S ribosomal RNA". It matches the Rfam family "Bacterial large subunit ribosomal RNA", at positions 2022 to 2925 of the family's 2925-position model. RNAcentral also lists the same sequence under 2 other names. Lineage: Bacteria; Pseudomonadati; Pseudomonadota; Gammaproteobacteria; Enterobacterales; Enterobacteriaceae. The record is from RNAcentral.
CCACCCGAGACUCAGUGAAAUUGAACUCGCUGUGAAGAUGCAGUGUACCCGCGGCAAGACGGAAAGACCCCGUGAACCUUUACUAUAGCUUGACACUGAACAUUGAGCCUUGAUGUGUAGGAUAGGUGGGAGGCUUUGAAGUGUGGACGCCAGUCUGCAUGGAGCCGGCCUUGAAAUACCACCCUUUAAUGUUUGAUGUUCUAACGUGGACCCGUGAUCCGGGUUGCGGACAGUGUCUGGUGGGUAGUUUGACUGGGGCGGUCUCCUCCUAAAGAGUAACGGAGGAGCACGAAGGUUGGCUAAUCCUGGUCGGACAUCAGGAGGUUAGUGCAAUGGCAUAAGCCAGCUUGACUGCGAGCGUGACGGCGCGAGCAGGUGCGAAAGCAGGUCAUAGUGAUCCGGUGGUUCUGAAUGGAAGGGCCAUCGCUCAACGGAUAAAAGGUACUCCGGGGAUAACAGGCUGAUACCGCCCAAGAGUUCAUAUCGACGGCGGUGUUUGGCACCUCGAUGUCGGCUCAUCACAUCCUGGGGCUGAAGUAGGUCCCAAGGGUAUGGCUGUUCGCCAUUUAAAGUGGUACGCGAGCUGGGUUUAGAACGUCGUGAGACAGUUCGGUCCCUAUCUGCCGUGGGCGCUGGAGAACUGAGGGGGGCUGCUCCUAGUACGAGAGGACCGGAGUGGACGCAUCACUGGUGUUCGGGUUGUCAUGCCAAUGGCACUGCCCGGUAGCUAAAUGCGGAAGAGAUAAGUGCUGAAAGCAUCUAAGCACGAAACUUGCCCCGAGAUGAGUUCUCCCUGAGACUUAGAGUCUCCUGAAGGAACGUUGAAGACGACGACGUUGAUAGGCCGGGUGUGUAAGCGCAGCGAUGCGUUGAGCUAACCGGUACUAAUGAACCGUGAGGCUUAACCUUACA